GCCAGGCACGGUGGCGCAUGCCUAUAAUCCCAGUGGCUCAGGAGGUUGAGGCAGGAGGAUUGCGAGUUCAAAGCCAGCCUUAGCAAAAGUGAGGGGCUAAGCAACUCAGUGACACCCUGUCUCUA
RNAcentral lists this small RNA (125 nucleotides) under Marmota monax (woodchuck). The record is from RNAcentral. Lineage: Eukaryota; Metazoa; Chordata; Mammalia; Rodentia; Sciuridae.